This is a long non-coding RNA of Pelobates fuscus (common spadefoot toad), 217 nucleotides long. RefSeq lists it as uncharacterized. The record is from RefSeq and is a predicted model, not a curated record. The transcript is spliced from 4 exons. Lineage: Eukaryota; Metazoa; Chordata; Amphibia; Anura; Pelobatidae.
CUGAUAGCGGAAGUGUUUGCAAAGAAGCCUCUUUUGAAGGAAUUAGCCAAUUCAGUGUCAACAACACCUUGCUCCAUCCAGAAAUAGUGGAAUGCCGAGUGUUUAAGACGGAUAUGGAGCUGGAGAUCCUUAGAUACACAAAUCGUGUGUCCAGUGAAGCUCACAAAGAGGUCAUGAAAGCUGCACGAGUGGGCAUGAAGGAAUAUGAGCUUGAAAG